GUCAGGUGUGGUGGCUCACACCUGUAAUCCCAGUACUUUGGGAGGCUGAGGCAGGAGGAUUGCUCGAGCCUAGGAGUUCAAGAUUGGUCUAGGCAACAUGGCAAAAGCCCAUCUCUACAAAAAAUAAAAAAUUUGCUGGGCGUGGUGGCACAUGCCUGUAGUCCCAGCUACUUAGGAGGCUGAGGUGGGAGGAUCGAUUGAGCCAGGGAGUUUCAGGCUGCAGUGAGCCAUGAUCAUGUCUCUCUCUGCACUCCAGCCUGGGCAACAGAGCAAGACCCUGUCUCA
Molecule: small RNA, 285 nt
Filed under: Gorilla gorilla gorilla (western lowland gorilla)
Lineage: Eukaryota; Metazoa; Chordata; Mammalia; Primates; Hominidae
Description: Metazoan signal recognition particle RNA (ENSGGOG00000040261.1)
Source: RNAcentral